Molecule: transfer RNA, 73 nt
Filed under: Proteus myxofaciens
Lineage: Bacteria; Pseudomonadati; Pseudomonadota; Gammaproteobacteria; Enterobacterales; Morganellaceae
Description: Cosenzaea myxofaciens tRNA-Glu
Rfam family: tRNA
About the family: Transfer RNA (tRNA) molecules are approximately 80 nucleotides in length. Their secondary structure includes four short double-helical elements and three loops (D, anti-codon, and T loops).
Source: RNAcentral
GUCCCCUUGGUCUAGAGGCCUAGGACACCGCCCUUUCACGGCGGUAACAGGGGUUCGAAUCCCCUAGGGGACG